This 438-nucleotide ribosomal RNA is filed under the name Triticum aestivum (bread wheat). RNAcentral describes it as "partial small subunit ribosomal RNA". The record is from RNAcentral. Lineage: Eukaryota; Viridiplantae; Streptophyta; Magnoliopsida; Poales; Poaceae.
CUAUCCUUUUUUGGCCAAGUCCACUUCGACAAGGAGCUCGCGUGGGUUGGGCUACACAAGGCACAUGAAUACACAGAUGGCUACAUAUGCUCCUGCGACGUCAUCUCUCCCACUGAUAGCCACACAAAGCCGGCCUGGAAGCUAUGCAAGGAGAUGAUGUUCGACCCUGAUGCAACCAUGAGGCUAGAUAUGGAUAGGCACAUCCCGGCUAGUCUUGUGUACAUGGGUGACAGUAGCUACUGUCUCGUUGAGGUCGUGCCGCAAGAAAGAUUCAACAAGAGGCAUUGCACCAGCACUGGCAGCAAGUGCAUGAUCCGUUUGUUCACACUCAAGUACGGCAAGAACGGCGAGCUCAGAACCACUGCCCACAAGCCUAACCGCUCCUUCCUCUUUUCCAAAUAUAAUGAGGAUUUUCAAGUGCGGGCAUUUUGGAUGUGA